GACGAACGCUGGCGGCGUGCUUAACACAUGCAAGUCGAACGGAAAGGCCCUGCUUUUGUGGGGUGCUCGAGUGGCGAACGGGUGAGUAACACGUGAGUAACCUGCCCUUGACUUUGGGAUAACUUCAGGAAACUGGGGCUAAUACCGGAUAGGAGCUCCUGCUGCAUGGUGGGGGUUGGAAAGUUUCGGCGGGUGGGGUUGGACUCGCGGCUUAUCAGCUUGUUGGUGGGGUAGUGGCUUACCAAGGCUUUGGCGGGUAGCCGGCCUGGGAGGGUGACCGGCCACAUUGCUACUGAGAUACGGCCCAGAGGCCUACGGGAGGCAGCAGGGGGGAAUAUUGCACAAUGAGCGGAAGUGUGAUGCAGCAGCGCCGCGUGCGGGAUGAAGGCCUGUGGGUUGUAAACCGCUUUUGCCUGUGACGAAGCGUGAAUGACGGUAAUGGAUAAAGAAGCACCGGCUAACUACGUG
This 468-nucleotide ribosomal RNA is filed under the name uncultured bacterium. Its description in RNAcentral is "partial 16S ribosomal RNA". It matches the Rfam family "Bacterial small subunit ribosomal RNA", at positions 28 to 507 of the family's 1533-position model. The record is from RNAcentral.